Molecule: non-coding RNA, 68 nt
Filed under: marine eukaryotic metagenome
Description: SAM riboswitch (alpha-proteobacteria)
Rfam family: Alpha-proteobacteria SAM riboswitch aptamer (bases 6-65)
About the family: This family is a riboswitch found predominantly in alpha-proteobacteria that binds S-adenosyl methionine (SAM). This SAM riboswitch is located upstream of the metA and metC genes in Agrobacterium tumefaciens, and other methionine and SAM biosynthesis genes in other alpha-proteobacteria. Like the other SAM riboswitch, it probably functions to turn off expression of these genes in response to elevated SAM levels.
Source: RNAcentral
UGUCGCGUGGCGAUUUGUUUACCGGAUUGCGGGCCACAAAAAAAAUGCCGCUAAAGAGGUCGAGGCCU